RNAcentral lists this ribosomal RNA (452 nucleotides) under uncultured Telmatospirillum sp. RNAcentral describes it as "bacterial SSU rRNA". It matches the Rfam family "Bacterial small subunit ribosomal RNA", at positions 9 to 507 of the family's 1533-position model. Lineage: Bacteria; Pseudomonadati; Pseudomonadota; Alphaproteobacteria; Rhodospirillales; Rhodospirillaceae. The record is from RNAcentral.
GAGUUUGAUCCUGGCUCAGAACGAACGCUGGCGGCAUGCCUAACACAUGCAAGUCGAACGAAGGCUUCGGCCUUAGUGGCGCACGGGUGAGUAACGCGUGGGAAUCUACCCAGCAGUGGGGAAUAACGACGGGAAACUGUCGCUAAUACCGCAUACGCCCUUCGGGGGAAAGAUUUAUUGCUGUUGGAUGAGCCCGCGUCCGAUUAGGUAGUUGGUGGGGUAAAGGCCUACCAAGCCAUCGAUCGGUAGCUGGUCUGAGAGGAUGAUCAGCCACACUGGGACUGAGACACGGCCCAGACUCCUACGGGAGGCAGCGGUGGGGAAUAUUGGACAAUGGGCGCAAGCCUGAUCCAGCAAUGCCGCGUGAGUGAUGAAGGCCUUAGGGUUGUAAAGCUCUUUCGGGUGGGACGAUGAUGACGGUACCACCAGAAGAAGCCCCGGCUAACUUCGUG